CACGCCCUAAACGAUGUCAACUGGUUGUUGGGUCUUCAUUGACUUAGUAACGAAGCUAACGCGUGAAGUUGACCGCCUGGGGAGUACGGUCGCAAGAUUAAAACUCAAAUGAAUUGACGGGGACCCGCACAAGCGGUGGAUGAUGUGGAUUAAUUCGAUGCAACGCGAAAAACCUUACCUACCCUUGACAUGCCACUAACGAACCAGAGAUGGAUUAGGUGCUCGAAAGAGAAAGUGGACACAGGUGC
RNAcentral lists this ribosomal RNA (248 nucleotides) under uncultured Burkholderiaceae bacterium. RNAcentral describes it as "partial 16S ribosomal RNA". It matches the Rfam family "Bacterial small subunit ribosomal RNA", at positions 796 to 1041 of the family's 1533-position model. Lineage: Bacteria; Pseudomonadati; Pseudomonadota; Betaproteobacteria; Burkholderiales; Burkholderiaceae. The record is from RNAcentral.